AGAAUUCCCGGUGUAGCGGUGAAAUGCGUAGAGAUCUGGAAGAAUACCGAUGGCGAAGGCGGCCUUCCUGCCUAAUACUGACUCUGAGGUGCGAAAGCAUGGGGAGCAAACAGGAUUAUAUACCCUGGUAGUCCAUGCCGUAAACGAUGUCUACUAGCCGUUGGGGCCUUUGACGCUUUAGUGGCGCAGCUAACGCGAUAAGUACACCGCCUGGGGAGUACGGUCGCAAGACUAAAACUCAAAUGAAUUGACGGGGGCCCGCACAAGCGGUGGAGCAUGUGGUUUAAUUCGAUGCAACGCGAAGAACCUUACCUGGUCUUGACAUACUAAGAACUUUCCAGAGAUGGAUUGGUGCCUUCGGGAACUUACAUACAGGUGCUGCAUGGCUGUCGUCAGCUCGUGUCGUGAGAUGUUGGGUUAAGUCCCGCAACGAGCGCAACCCUUUUCCUUAUUUGCCAGCGGGUUAAGCCGGGAACUUUAAGGAUACUGCCAGUGACAAACUGGAGGAAGGCGGGGACGACGUCAAGUCAUCAUGGCCCUUACGACCAGGGCUACACACGUGCUACAAUGGUCGGUACAAAGGGUUGCUACCUCGCGAGUGGAUGCUAAUCUCAAAA
This 617-nucleotide ribosomal RNA is filed under the name Acinetobacter sp. p47_D08. RNAcentral describes it as "bacterial SSU rRNA". It matches the Rfam family "Bacterial small subunit ribosomal RNA", at positions 663 to 1279 of the family's 1533-position model. The record is from RNAcentral. Lineage: Bacteria; Pseudomonadati; Pseudomonadota; Gammaproteobacteria; Moraxellales; Moraxellaceae.